This 253-nucleotide ribosomal RNA is filed under the name uncultured bacterium. RNAcentral's name for it is "partial 16S ribosomal RNA". It matches the Rfam family "Bacterial small subunit ribosomal RNA", at positions 524 to 776 of the family's 1533-position model. The record is from RNAcentral.
UACGUAGGGGGCAAGCGUUGUUCGGAAUUACUGGGCGUAAAGGGCGCGUAGGCGGCCCGGCAAGUCGGGAGUGAAAGCCCGGGGCUCAACCCCGGAGGGUCUUCCGAAACUGCCGAGCUAGAGUGCGGAAGAGGCAACCGGAAUUCCCAGUGUAGCGGUGAAAUGCGUAGAUAUUGGGAAGAACACCGGAGGCGAAGGCGGGUUGCUGGGCCGACACUGACGCUGAGGCGCGAAAGCCAGGGGAGCAAACGGG